Molecule: ribosomal RNA, 254 nt
Filed under: uncultured bacterium
Lineage: Bacteria
Description: partial 16S ribosomal RNA
Rfam family: Bacterial small subunit ribosomal RNA
Source: RNAcentral
UACGAAGGGGGCUAGCGUUGCUCGGAAUCACUGGGCGUAAAGGGUGCGUAGGCGGGUCUUUAAGUCAGGGGUGAAAUCCUGGAGCCUCAACUCCAGAACUGCCUUUGAUACUGAGGAUCUUGAGUUCGGGAGAGGUGAGUGGAACUGCGAGUGUAGAGGUGAAAUUCGUAGAUAUUCGCAAGAACACCAGUGGCGAAGGCGGCUCACUGGCCCGAUACUGACGCUGAGGCACGAAAGCGUGGGGAGCAAACAGG